AGCGUACACGGUGGAUGCCCUGGCAGUCAGAGGCGAUGAAGGACGUGCUAAUCUGCGAUAAGCGUCGGUAAGGUGAUAUGAACCGUUAUAACCGGCGAUUUCCGAAUGGGGAAACCCAGUGUGUUUCGACACACUAUCAUUAACUGAAUCCAUAGGUUAAUGAGGCGAACCGGGGGAACUGAAACAUCUAAGUACCCCGAGGAAAAGAAAUCAACCGAGAUUCCCCCAGUAGCGGCGAGCGAACGGGGAGCAGCCCAGAGCCUGAAUCAGUGUGUGUGUUAGUGGAAGCGUCUGGAAAGGCGCGCGAUACAGGGUGACAGCCCCGUACACAAAAAUGCACAUGCUGUGAGCUCGAUGAGUAGGGCGGGACACGUGGUAUCCUGUCUGAAUAUGGGGGGACCAUCCUCCAAGGCUAAAUACUCCUGACUGACCGAUAGUGAACCAGUACCGUGAGGGAAAGGCGAAAAGAACCCCGGCGAGGGGAGUGAAAAAGAACCUGAAACCGUGUACGUACAAGCAGUGGGAGCACGCUUAGGCGUGUGACUGCGUACCUUUUGUAUAAUGGGUCAGCGACUUAUAUUCUGUAGCAAGGUUAACCGAAUAGGGGAGCCGAAGGGAAACCGAGUCUUAACUGGGCGUUAAGUUGCAGGGUAUAGACCCGAAACCCGGUGAUCUAGCCAUGGGCAGGUUGAAGGUUGGGUAACACUAACUGGAGGACCGAACCGACUAAUGUUGAAAAAUUAGCGGAUGACUUGUGGCUGGGGGUGAAAGGCCAAUCAAACCGGGAGAUAGCUGGUUCUCCCCGAAAGCUAUUUAGGUAGCGCCUCGUGAAUUCAUCUCCGGGGGUAGAGCACUGUUUCGGCAAGGGGGUCAUCCCGACUUACCAACCCGAUGCAAACUGCGAAUACCGGAGAAUGUUAUCACGGGAGACACACGGCGGGUGCUAACGUCCGUCGUGAAGAGGGAAACAACCCAGACCGCCAGCUAAGGUCCCAAAGUCAUGGUUAAGUGGGAAACGAUGUGGGAAGGCCCAGACAGCCAGGAUGUUGGCUUAGAAGCAGCCAUCAUUUAAAGAAAGCGUAAUAGCUCACUGGUCGAGUCGGCCUGCGCGGAAGAUGUAACGGGGCUAAACCAUGCACCGAAGCUGCGGCAGCGACGCUNNNNNNNNNNNNNNNNNNNNNNNNNNNNNNNNNNNNNNNNNNNNNNNNNNNNNNNCAUGCUGGAGGUAUCAGAAGUGCGAAUGCUGACAUAAGUAACGAUAAAGCGGGUGAAAAGCCCGCUCGCCGGAAGACCAAGGGUUCCUGUCCAACGUUAAUCGGGGCAGGGUGAGUCGACCCCUAAGGCGAGGCCGAAAGGCGUAGUCGAUGGGAAACAGGUUAAUAUUCCUGUACUUGGUGUUACUGCGAAGGGGGGACGGAGAAGGCUAUGUUGGCCGGGCGACGGUUGUCCCGGUUUAAGCGUGUAGGCUGGUUUUCCAGGCAAAUCCGGAAAAUCAAGGCUGAGGCGUGAUGACGAGGCACUACGGUGCUGAAGCAACAAAUGCCCUGCUUCCAGGAAAAGCCUCUAAGCAUCAGGUAACAUCAAAUCGUACCCCAAACCGACACAGGUGGUCAGGUAGAGAAUACCAAGGCGCUUGAGAGAACUCGGGUGAAGGAACUAGGCAAAAUGGUGCCGUAACUUCGGGAGAAGGCACGCUGAUAUGUAGGUGAAGUCCCUCGCGGAUGGAGCUGAAAUCAGUCGAAGAUACCAGCUGGCUGCAACUGUUUAUUAAAAACACAGCACUGUGCAAACACGAAAGUGGACGUAUACGGUGUGACGCCUGCCCGGUGCCGGAAGGUUAAUUGAUGGGGUCAGCGCAAGCGAAGCUCUUGAUCGAAGCCCCGGUAAACGGCGGCCGUAACUAUAACGGUCCUAAGGUAGCGAAAUUCCUUGUCGGGUAAGUUCCGACCUGCACGAAUGGCGUAAUGAUGGCCAGGCUGUCUCCACCCGAGACUCAGUGAAAUUGAACUCGCUGUGAAGAUGCAGUGUACCCGCGGCAAGACGGAAAGACCCCGUGAACCUUUACUAUAGCUUGACACUGAACAUUGAGCCUUGAUGUGUAGGAUAGGUGGGAGGCUUUGAAGUGUGGACGCCAGUCUGCAUGGAGCCGACCUUGAAAUACCACCCUUUAAUGUUUGAUGUUCUAACGUUGACCCGUGAUCCGGGUUGCGGACAGUGUCUGGUGGGUAGUUUGACUGGGGCGGUCUCCUCCUAAAGAGUAACGGAGGAGCACGAAGGUUGGCUAAUCCUGGUCGGACAUCAGGAGGUUAGUGCAAUGGCAUAAGCCAGCUUGACUGCGAGCGUGACGGCGCGAGCAGGUGCGAAAGCAGGUCAUAGUGAUCCGGUGGUUCUGAAUGGAAGGGCCAUCGCUCAACGGAUAAAAGGUACUCCGGGGAUAACAGGCUGAUACCGCCCAAGAGUUCAUAUCGACGGCGGUGUUUGGCACCUCGAUGUCGGCUCAUCACAUCCUGGGGCUGAAGUAGGUCCCAAGGGUAUGGCUGUUCGCCAUUUAAAGUGGUACGCGAGCUGGGUUUAGAACGUCGUGAGACAGUUCGGUCCCUAUCUGCCGUGGGCGCUGGAGAACUGAGGGGGGCUGCUCCUAGUACGAGAGGACCGGAGUGGACGCAUCACUGGUGUUCGGGUUGUCAUGCCAAUGGCACUGCCCGGUAGCUAAAUGCGGAAGAGAUAAGUGCUGAAAGCAUCUAAGCACGAAACUUGCCCCGAGAUGAGUUCUCCCUGACUCCUUGA
RNAcentral lists this ribosomal RNA (2787 nucleotides) under Escherichia coli. RNAcentral's name for it is "bacterial LSU rRNA". It matches the Rfam family "Bacterial large subunit ribosomal RNA". Lineage: Bacteria; Pseudomonadati; Pseudomonadota; Gammaproteobacteria; Enterobacterales; Enterobacteriaceae. The record is from RNAcentral.